Molecule: ribosomal RNA, 984 nt
Filed under: Arthrobacter sp.
Lineage: Bacteria; Bacillati; Actinomycetota; Actinomycetes; Micrococcales; Micrococcaceae
Description: bacterial SSU rRNA
Rfam family: Bacterial small subunit ribosomal RNA
Source: RNAcentral
UUACCUUUGUAUGCAUCUGAUUCGGAUAUUGGGCGUAAGAGCUCGUAGGCGGUUUGUCGCGUCUGCUGUGAAAGACCGGGGCUCAACUCCGGUUCUGCAGUGGGUACGGGCAGACUAGAGUGCAGUAGGGGAGACUGGAAUUCCUGGUGUAGCGGUGAAAUGCGCAGAUAUCAGGAGGAACACCGAUGGCGAAGGCAGGUCUCUGGGCUGUAACUGACGCUGAGGAGCGAAAGCAUGGGGAGCGAACAGGAUUAGAUACCCUGGUAGUCCAUGCCGUAAACGUUGGGCACUAGGUGUGGGGGACAUUCCACGUUUUCCGCGCCGUAGCUAACGCAUUAAGUGCCCCGCCUGGGGAGUACGGCCGCAAGGCUAAAACUCAAAGGAAUUGACGGGGGCCCGCACAAGCGGCGGAGCAUGCGGAUUAAUUCGAUGCAACGCGAAGAACCUUACCAAGGCUUGACAUGAACCGGUAAUACCUGGAAACAGGUGCCCCGCUUGCGGUCGGUUUACAGGUGGUGCAUGGUUGUCGUCAGCUCGUGUCGUGAGAUGUUGGGUUAAGUCCCGCAACGAGCGCAACCCUCGUUCUAUGUUGCCAGCGCGUUAUGGCGGGGACUCAUAGGAGACUGCCGGGGUCAACUCGGAGGAAGGUGGGGACGACGUCAAAUCAUCAUGCCCCUUAUGUCUUGGGCUUCACGCAUGCUACAAUGGCCGGUACAAAGGGUUGCGAUACUGUGAGGUGGAGCUAAUCCCAAAAAGCCGGUCUCAGUUCGGAUUGGGGUCUGCAACUCGACCCCAUGAAGUCGGAGUCGCUAGUAAUCGCAGAUCAGCAACGCUGCGGUGAAUACGUUCCCGGGCCUUGUACACACCGCCCGUCAAGUCACGAAAGUUGGUAACACCCGAAGCCGGUGGCCUAACCCUUGUGGGGGGAGCCGUCGAAAGGUGGGACCGGCGAUUGGGACUAAGUCGUAACAAGGUAGCCAAUUA